UGGACGCUAGCAACAGGCUUAACACAUGCAAGUCGAGGGGAAACGGCAUUUAGUGCUUGCACUGAAUGGACGUCGACCGGCGCACGGGUGAGCAACGCGUAUCCAACCUACCCAUUACUGUGGGAUAACCUGCCGAAAGGCAGACUAAUACCGCAUAGUCUUCGAUGACGGCAUCAGAUUUGAAGUAAAGAUUUAUCGGUAAUGGAUGGGGAUGCGUCUGAUUAGCUUGUUGGCGGGGUAACGGCCCACCAAGGCAACGAUCAGUAGGGGUUCUGAGAGGAAGGUCCCCCACAUUGGAACUGAGACACGGUCCAAACUCCUACGGGAGGCAGCAGUGAGGAAUAUUGGUCAAUGGGCGGGAGCCUGAACCAGCCAAGUAGCGUGCAGGAUGACGGCCCUAUGGGUUGUAAACUGCUUUUGUAUGGGGAUAAAGUCAAUCACGUGCGAUUGUUUGCAGGUACCAUACGAAUAAGGACCGGCUAAUUCCGUGC
Molecule: ribosomal RNA, 491 nt
Filed under: uncultured Prevotella sp.
Lineage: Bacteria; Pseudomonadati; Bacteroidota; Bacteroidia; Bacteroidales; Prevotellaceae
Description: bacterial SSU rRNA
Rfam family: Bacterial small subunit ribosomal RNA
Source: RNAcentral